This 76-nucleotide transfer RNA is filed under the name Geotrichum candidum. Its description in RNAcentral is "tRNA-Met". It matches the Rfam family "tRNA". From Rfam's summary of the family: Transfer RNA (tRNA) molecules are approximately 80 nucleotides in length. Their secondary structure includes four short double-helical elements and three loops (D, anti-codon, and T loops). The record is from RNAcentral. Lineage: Eukaryota; Fungi; Ascomycota; Dipodascomycetes; Dipodascales; Dipodascaceae.
UGCAAUAUGGUGUAAUAUAAUGGUAACACAUAAGACUCAUGAUCUUAAACUAUACGUUCAAAUCGUAUUAUUGCUA